GGGUGACUAGCUUAGUGGUUAAGAGGUGGCCUCUGGAGCCAGUGCUCUGGCUUUGAAUCCCAGCUUACCCA
Molecule: transfer RNA, 71 nt
Filed under: Otolemur garnettii (small-eared galago)
Lineage: Eukaryota; Metazoa; Chordata; Mammalia; Primates; Galagidae
Rfam family: tRNA
About the family: Transfer RNA (tRNA) molecules are approximately 80 nucleotides in length. Their secondary structure includes four short double-helical elements and three loops (D, anti-codon, and T loops).
Source: Rfam by way of RNAcentral